UGGGGAAUAUUGCACAAUGGGCGAAAGCCUGAUGCAGCAACGCCGCGUGAGUGAUGAAGGUCUUCGGAUUGUAAAGCUCUGUCUUUUGGGACGAUAAUGACGGUACCAAAGGAGGAAGCCACGGCUAACUACGUGCCAGCAGCCGCGGUAAUACGUAGGUGGCGAGCGUUGUCCGGAUUUACUGGGCGUAAAGGGUGCGUAGGCGGAUGUUUAAGUGAGAUGUGAAAUACCCGGGCUUAACUUGGGUGCUGCAUUUCAAACUGGAUAUCUAGAGUGCAGGAGAGGAGAAUGGAAUUCCUAGUGUAGCGGUGAAAUGCGUAGAGAUUAGGAAGAACACCAGUGGCGAAGGCGAUUCUCUGGACUGUAACUGACGCUGAGGCACGAAAGCGUGGGUAGCAAACAGGAUUAGAUACCCUGGUAGUCCACGCCGUAAACGAUGAGUACUAGGUGUAGGAGGUAUCGACCCCUUCUGUGCCGCAGUAAAACACAUUAAGUACUCCGCCUGGGAAGUACGAUCGCAAGAUUAAAACUCUAAAGUGAAUUGACGGGGUC
Molecule: ribosomal RNA, 552 nt
Filed under: uncultured bacterium
Lineage: Bacteria
Description: partial 16S ribosomal RNA
Rfam family: Bacterial small subunit ribosomal RNA
Source: RNAcentral